UUCCUACAAAUUGGCAUCCUCAAAUGCA
This 28-nucleotide non-coding RNA is filed under the name Mus musculus (house mouse). The record is from RNAcentral. Lineage: Eukaryota; Metazoa; Chordata; Mammalia; Rodentia; Muridae.